RNAcentral lists this ribosomal RNA (492 nucleotides) under uncultured bacterium. RNAcentral describes it as "partial 16S ribosomal RNA". It matches the Rfam family "Bacterial small subunit ribosomal RNA", at positions 29 to 507 of the family's 1533-position model. The record is from RNAcentral.
AGUGAACGCUGGCGGUAGGCCUAACACAUGCAAGUCGAACGGCAGCACAGUAAGAUCUUGCUCUUACGGGUGGCGAGUGGCGGACGGGUGAGGAAUACAUCGGAAUCUACUUUUUCGUGGGGGAUAACGUAGGGAAACUUACUCUAAUACCGCAUACGACCUACGGUUGAAAGCAGUGGAUCUUCGCACCUUGCGCGAUUGAAUGAGCCGAUGUCGGAUUAGCUAGUUGGCGGGGUAAAGGCCCACCAAGGCGACGAUCCGUAGCUUGUCUGAGAGGAUGAUCAGCCACACUGGAACUGAGACACGGUCCAGACUCCUACGGGAGGCAGCAGUGGGGAAUAUUGGACAAUGGGCGCAAGCCUGAUCCAGCCAUACCGCGUGGGUGAAGAAGGCCUUCGGGUUGUAAAGCCCUUUUGUUGGGAAAGAAAAGCAGCAGGUUAAUACCCCGCUGUUCUGACGGUACCCAAAGAAUAAGCACCGGCUAACUUCGUG